UACGAAGGGUGCGAGCGUUGUUCGGAAUUAUUGGGCGUAAAGCGCACGUAGGCGGCUUUGUAAGUCUCACUGUGAAAGCCCGGGGCUCAACCCCGGGAGGCCAGGGGAUACUGCGAGGCUGGAGACAAGCAGAGGUUGGUAGAAUUCCGGGUGUAGCGGUGGAAUGCGUAGAGAUCCGGAGGAAUACCAGAGGCGAAGGCGGCCAACUGGGCUUGAUCUGACGCUGAGGUGCGAAAGCGUGGGGAGCGAACAGGAUUAGAUACCCGCGUAGUCC
Molecule: ribosomal RNA, 274 nt
Filed under: uncultured bacterium
Lineage: Bacteria
Description: partial 16S ribosomal RNA
Rfam family: Bacterial small subunit ribosomal RNA
Source: RNAcentral